GUCAAAUAUAGAUGUCGAAUAUUUAAAAUUUUUAAAAAUUAAAUUUCCAACUUUUUCAAAAUUAUAAUAAAACCAUCAAACGGAUGUAAAAUGAACAGUUAAAAUCGAACGACGUUCUAAAUGAAUGAUCGAAUAUUUUCAUUUAAAAUCAAAAUUAUUGAUCUUUAUCUAAAUAGUGAAUAAAAUUUUAUAUCAAAAAUUCAACCGUUACCGUUAAACCGGUCGAUUAAAAUUGUUAAUUUCGAAAUCUUUUAAUCACAAGGUAAAUAAUAUCAAAAAAUUAUAAAAUUUAAUUUUCAUAAGUUUUAAAUACUCUAGAUAAUAUUUAAAGUAAAUAUAAUAACCGGACUAUAUAUUU
Molecule: long non-coding RNA, 358 nt
Filed under: Ananas comosus (pineapple)
Lineage: Eukaryota; Viridiplantae; Streptophyta; Magnoliopsida; Poales; Bromeliaceae
Description: long non-coding RNA (ACOM_LNC031774)
Source: RNAcentral